AGAGAGAGACAUGCGCGCAUAUCAAUAAGCGGAGGAAAAGAAACUAACAAGGAUUCCCUUAGUAACGGCGAGUGAAGCGGGAAGAGCUCAAAUUUGAAAUCUUCAAGGUUCUACCUUGACGAAUUGUAGUUUAUAGAAGUGUUUUCUGUUAGUGGAGUGGCAAAAGUUCUUUGGAAUAGGACAUCAUAGAGGGUGAGAAUCCCGUAUUUGGUCAUUCCUCCUAGCGUUGUGAUACACUUUCAACGAGUCGGAUUGUUUGGGAAUGCAGUCCAAAAUGGGUGGUAAAUUUCAUCUAAAGCUAAAUAUUGGCGAGAGACCGAUAGCGAACAAGUACCGUGAGGGAAAGAUGAAAAGAACUUUGAAAAGAGAGUUAAACAGUACGUGAAAUUGUCAAAAGGGAAGCGUUUGACACCAGUGUUGUUUUUCCGAAAAUCAAUUACGAAUGUUUUAUUUUUGAGGAGUUAUGACUUCAUCGGCUUGCUCCUUUCUUUACUGAAACCUUCUUAAUGCACUUUUCGGUUAACAAGUCAACAUCAAUUUCUUUUGUUGUAAAAGGGUAUGAGGAAGGUGGCUUUCUUUUCGGAGAAAGUGUUUAUAGCCUCGUGCCUCUGCAAUCGGAGAGAUUGAGGUCUGCAGCGUAGAUCCUUCGGGGUUAGAUACAGUUUGUGCUAAGUUAUAGCUUUUCAUAGACAACUUGUUGGACUAUGUUUAGUCUUGUAGCUUACUCGCUGAUGCUAUUUUACCUACGCUUAGGAUGUUGAUAGUCACAGCGUGUAC
This 777-nucleotide ribosomal RNA is filed under the name uncultured Neocallimastigales. RNAcentral describes it as "partial large subunit ribosomal RNA". It matches the Rfam family "Eukaryotic large subunit ribosomal RNA", at positions 23 to 644 of the family's 3401-position model. Lineage: Eukaryota; Fungi; Neocallimastigomycota; Neocallimastigomycetes; Neocallimastigales. The record is from RNAcentral.